AGAGUUUGAUCCUGGCUCAGAUUGAACGCUGGCGGCAUGCCUUACACAUGCAAGUCGAACGGNNACAGGUCUUCGGAUGCUGACGAGUGGCGAACGGGUGAGUAAUACAUCGGAACGUGCCCGAUCGUGGGGGAUAACGCAGCGAAAGCUGUGCUAAUACCGCAUACGAUCUACGGAUGAAAGCGGGGGAUCGCAAGACCUNGCGCGGACGGAGCGGCCGAUGGCAGAUUANGUAGUUGGUGGGAUAAAAGCUUACCAAGCCGACGAUCUGUAGCUGGUCUGAGAGGACGACCAGCCACACUGGGACUGANACACGGCCCAGACUCCUACGGGAGGCAGNAGUGGGGAAUUUUUGGACAAUGGGCGAAAGCCUGAUCCAGCCAUGCCGCNUGCAGGAUGAAGGCCUUCUGGUUUGUAAACUGCUUUUGUACGGAACGAAAAANUUUUCUCUAAUACAGGGGGCGAAUGACGGUAC
RNAcentral lists this ribosomal RNA (475 nucleotides) under uncultured bacterium. RNAcentral's name for it is "bacterial SSU rRNA". It matches the Rfam family "Bacterial small subunit ribosomal RNA", at positions 8 to 478 of the family's 1533-position model. The record is from RNAcentral.